AACUAACGCUAGCGGCGUGCCUAACACAUGCAAGUCGUACGAGAAAGUCGGCUUCGGCCGAUGAGUAAAGUGGCGCACGGGUGAGUAACGCGUGGAUAAUCUACCCUUUAGUCGGGAAUAACCCACCGAAAGGUGAGCUAAUACCGGAUAACGCUGCGCAACUACUGUUGUGUAGCCAAAGAAGGCCUCUGCUUGCAAGCUUUUGCUGAAGGAUGAGUCCGCGUACCAUUAGCUAGUUGGUAGGGUAAUGGCCUACCAAGGCUACGAUGGUUAGCUGGUCUGAGAGGAUGAUCAGCCACACUGGAACUGAGACACGGUCCAGACUCCUACGGGUGGCAG
This 339-nucleotide ribosomal RNA is filed under the name uncultured Pseudomonadota bacterium. RNAcentral's name for it is "bacterial SSU rRNA". It matches the Rfam family "Bacterial small subunit ribosomal RNA", at positions 29 to 351 of the family's 1533-position model. The record is from RNAcentral. Lineage: Bacteria; Pseudomonadati; Pseudomonadota.